RNAcentral lists this non-coding RNA (117 nucleotides) under Nomascus leucogenys (northern white-cheeked gibbon). Lineage: Eukaryota; Metazoa; Chordata; Mammalia; Primates; Hylobatidae. The record is from Rfam by way of RNAcentral.
GCCGGGCGCGGUGGUUCACGCCUGUAAUCCCAGCACUCUGGGAGGCCGAGGUGGGCGGAUCACCUGAGGUCAGGAGUUCAAGACCAGCCUGACCAACAUGGUGAAACCCCAUCUCUA